CUGUAAAGGAGUUUGACUUGGUUAUGGGAAAACUGAGGGAUAGAGAAGUUAAUAGUCACUCAGCAGGCCAGUAGCAACAGAAUCCAGGUCUUCUAAGUCCCUGUACCAUGCUUUCUAGGCUACACUGCCUCUCAAAAGGCAAUUUCUGAUGAAGUGCAUUUUGUCAACAUACUGCUCUGUCUCCCUCCAAACUUAAGGUCAUCUUCACCUCUGCUGAAAAGUGAGAAGAGGAGACAUAUGAAUCCCAUCUUCAGCACUAGAAUUCUCAUUUGCUUCGGGUAGUUAAAUAGAGAGCCUUGUCCAAAGGAGCACAGAAAGAGAUGGCUACAGCUGCCUCACAUGGGUUAAGGAACAGCAGGACAAAAGGAUGGCUGUAGGCACACACCAACCUGAACAAGUCUGUGCUUAGCAUAGACAACAAUACAACAUGCAGUCAUUGGAGAGAUAAGGUGUGAGAAGGAAUCUCUCUCUAUAAAUAAAAAAAAACA
Molecule: non-coding RNA, 488 nt
Organism: Pelodiscus sinensis (Chinese soft-shelled turtle)
Lineage: Eukaryota; Metazoa; Chordata; Testudines; Trionychidae
Source: RefSeq, a predicted model, not a curated record